AAACUUUAUAAUGAUUUUUAUAAUGGUCACAGAGCCCCUCCCAAUCAAGCAUUGCAUAAAGCCAUCCCAUUGCUAUCACAGUCUAAACUACCGUAUAUGAUUAAAAUCAGGAGCCCUUAUCAGAAAACACACAAGAAGCUGGUAACAGUGUGUUCUUUUACCCCCUCUUGCUUAACUACUCUACUACUACACUUCCCUUUUUGUAGUCAUGACAUAUUUUAAGAUAAGACACUU
Pipistrellus kuhlii (Kuhl's pipistrelle) is the source of this 234-nucleotide long non-coding RNA. RefSeq lists it as uncharacterized. The transcript has 3 exons. The record is from RefSeq and is a predicted model, not a curated record. Lineage: Eukaryota; Metazoa; Chordata; Mammalia; Chiroptera; Vespertilionidae.